UUUAACCACUGCUCUCCACAAUGGUCAGCCCUGGAGGAAGAAACAGUCUGAAUGAUCAAGGACAUUUCAUACAUCAGUUAAAGGACUGUCAACAUUUCAAAUGUCAUAUUAAGGCAUCAUUUUGAAGUUAUCAGAGAAUACAAUAAGCUAAACAGUGUUUCUCUUAGCAGAAAAGGAUGUUUAAUGUUAUUAUUAAAAAGUCUAAAUUAAGUGAAGUUGGGUCAAAAGGGCCAUUGGCCUCCAUUGUUACGUUCUUAUUGAGGGUUCUAGCUAAUUUGAAUCUGAAUUAUUGUAUCUUAUAGGUUGAGGAACAGGUGUUCUCAAGUGUGUUACACAUUUUAUCACAUUUUAUCAAACGUUGUUUUUCCCUAAACUACACAGGUUUAAACCUUCUGGUGGUGCUAGAAUUAAAGUCAAAAGAUAUCUAUGGAUGAAUCUAAUAAUCAUUCAUGUCUGAGCUUAAAUUUAUCAAAAUAUUUAGGAAUUGAUAGAGAGUGAGG
Molecule: long non-coding RNA, 500 nt
Organism: Trematomus bernacchii (emerald rockcod)
Lineage: Eukaryota; Metazoa; Chordata; Actinopteri; Perciformes; Nototheniidae
Exons: 3
Source: RefSeq, a predicted model, not a curated record